UGCACAGUGAUCAUGCCUAAUGGUGAUUGGGGAACAAUACAGAGAAGAUUAGCAGGGCCCUUGUGCAAGGAUGACACAUAAAUCUGAUAAGCAUUCCAUAUUUUA
Molecule: small nuclear RNA, 105 nt
Organism: Suncus etruscus (white-toothed pygmy shrew)
Lineage: Eukaryota; Metazoa; Chordata; Mammalia; Eulipotyphla; Soricidae
Source: RefSeq, a predicted model, not a curated record